RNAcentral lists this transfer RNA (67 nucleotides) under Marmota monax (woodchuck). RNAcentral's name for it is "tRNA.Glu". The record is from RNAcentral. Lineage: Eukaryota; Metazoa; Chordata; Mammalia; Rodentia; Sciuridae.
GGGCUUAGCUCAGUGGCAGAGCGCUUGCCUUUCACGUGUGAGGCAUUGGGUUCGAUCCUCAGCAUCA